Molecule: ribosomal RNA, 2415 nt
Filed under: Triticum aestivum (bread wheat)
Lineage: Eukaryota; Viridiplantae; Streptophyta; Magnoliopsida; Poales; Poaceae
Description: partial small subunit ribosomal RNA
Source: RNAcentral
AUGUCACUGAUCACAGCCACUUUCAUGGCCCUUGCCUUGUGCUUCGCCCCUGCACCUGCAGUGGGUGCAGCCGCGACGGUCUCGGCGCGGCGUCCGCUGCGGGGCAAUGACACGCUGGUCUCCGCACAGGGCAAGUUCGAGCUCGGCCUCUUCAGCCCUGCUGGCAGCUCCGGCGACAGGUUCUACCUCGGGAUCUGGUACAUGAACAUCCCCGUUCAGACCGUCGCCUGGGUCGGCAACCGCGUGACUCCCCUGUCCAGCGUCGCCACCGCCGAGCUCCGGGUGUCCGCUGACGACGGCAACCUCGAGCUGGUUGGUCUCACCGCCGCCUCGUCCUCGCCCGUCGUCGUGUGGUCUUCAAACCUGUCGUCUUCGUCUCUGUCAUCGUCGCCGGGCUCGAACACCGCGGAGAUCCGCGACGACGGCAACCUUGUCCUUGUCGACGGAGGCAAUUCCUCCAACGUGCUGUGGCAGAGCUUCGACCACCCGACGGACACGCACAUGUCGGGAGCGUGGCUGGGCGAGAACAAGCUCACCGGCGAGUACCAAGCGUUGACGUCGUGGCGGAACGCCCAGGACCCUGCGCCGGGGAUGUUCACCGACACGGUGAACUCCAACGGCACCAGCGAGUUCGUCUUCAUGUGGAACCGGUCCAGUACGUAUUAUCGGACCGGCGUUUGGACGGGGAGCUUCUUCAAGAACAUACCGGAGACGGCGAGGGGGAACGUCCUGUUCAACCAGACGUACAUCGAGACGCCGGCGUACCGGCGCCUCACCAAUAUCCUCUAUAACAACGAGACCAUCACGCGCUUGGUGCUUGAUCUCACCGGACAGGCGAGGCAGUACGUCUGGGUCGAGAGCUGGCAACUGUUCUGGACAGCGCCCAUCGUGCAGUGCGAUGUGUACGCGCUCUGUGGUGCAUUCGGCGUUUGCGACCAGAGGAGCGAGCUGCCUUGCCGGUGCCCGCCCGGGUUUGCUCCGGCGUCGGAGGCGGACUGGAAGCUCAGCGACUGGAGCGAUGGCUGCCGUCGGAGCUCGCCGCUCACGUGCUCACGCAACGGGUCGACCACCGACGGGUUCCUAGAGCUGCCGGACGUGAAGCUCCCCGAUGACUCGCUCGCCGUGGGCGCGGCCCAGAGCAAAGCAGAGUGUGAGUCUGCUUGUCAGAAGAGCUGCUCUUGCCAGGCCUACGCUUUCUCCAACGGGGGUUGCGCUGUAUGGCACGGAGACCUCCGCAACGUUCAGCAGCUCUACGCGGACUCCGGCGUCUCCGGGUCAGACCUGUAUCUCCGGCUCUCGGCAACAGGAUUGCGAGACCUCCACAGCGUAGACCGGAAGAAAGGGGAGAAUCAUUGGCUUGUUCUUGGCAUGACAAUGGUCGGUGUUCUGGCAUUGGGAGCAUCGUUAAUACUGGCCUGGAGGAUUCUUGGUGCCCGGAGGAGGCGACUGGCCAGCAUGGCCAACGAGAACUCUUUGACGGUGUACAGCUACGGCGACCUCCGUGCCGCCACCAAGAACUUUUCGGAGCGACUCGGCGGCGGCGGCUUCGGCUCGGUGUACCGCGGUGUCCUCAAGCAGCAAGUCCAAGUUGCAGUGAAGAAGCUGGAAACUCUUGGGCGGCAGGGCGACAAGCAAUUCCGGACUGAGGUGAGCACGCUGGGGCUCAUCCAGCACGUGAAUCUCGUCCGGCUCCUCGGCUUCUGCUCGUUGGGCGACGAGAAAAUGCUCGUGUACGAAUACAUGCCCCGGGGCUCCCUCGACCGCUACCUCUUCGGCGGUGGCGCGAGCCUGAGCUGGCGGGAACGGUACAGCAUCAUGAUCGGCGUGGCGAGAGGGCUAGCCUACCUGCACCAUGGCUGUCGCGAGUGCAUCGUACACUGCGACAUCAAGCCGGAGAACAUCCUGCUGGACGAGGACAUGUCGCCGAGGAUCGCCGACUUCGGGAUGGCGAAGCUGGUAGGGAGGGACUUCAGCCGCGCGCUGACGACGAUGCGGGGCACCAUCGGGUACCUCGCGCCGGAGUGGAUCUCCGGGCAGCCCAUCAGCGCCAUGGUGGACGUGUAUAGCUUUGGGAUGGUGCUCUUCGAGCUCAUCUCGGGACGGCGCAACUCCGAGGAGUACAGCGAGGUGGAGGCGACAGGGACCAUGGAGCGUGGGUCGUCGACCUUCUUCCCAGUGUGGGCCGCGGGGAAGGUCGUGGAAGGGGAAGUGAGCGUCGUGGCUGACCGGCGGCUGUACGGCGACGUGAGGCUGGAGGAGUUGGAGCGGGCGUGCAGGGUGGCGUGUUGGUGCAUCCAGGGCGAGGAGGUGCAGCGCCCGACCAUGGCGCAGGUCGUGCAGGUGCUGGAGGGCGCCGUCCAGGUGCACGCGUCGCCGGUGCCGCGGGCGCUGCAGCACCUCGUCACGCUCACGUAA